CCUACUGGAGGCAGCAGUGGGGAAUAUUGGGCAAUGGGCGCAAGCCUGACCCAGCAACGCCGCGUGAAGGAAGAAGGCUUUCGGGUUGUAAACUUCUUUUCUGAGGGACGACGAAAGUGACGGUACCUCAGGAAUAAGCCACGGCUAACUACGUGCCAGCAGCCGCGGUAAUACGUAGGUGGCAAGCGUUAUUCGGAUUUAUUGGGUGUAAAGGGCGUGUAGGCGGGAAAGAAAGUCAGAUGUGAAACCUCAGGGCUCAACCCUGAGCCUGCAUUUGACACUGUUGUUCUUGUGUGCUGGAGAGGCAAUCGGAAUUCCGUGUGUAGCGGUGAAAUGCGUAGAUAUACGGAGGAACACCAGUGGCGAAGGCGGAUUGCUGGACAGUAACUGACGCUGAGGCGCGAAAGCGUGGGGAGCAAACAGGAUUAGAUACCCGGGUAGUC
This 443-nucleotide ribosomal RNA is filed under the name uncultured bacterium. RNAcentral describes it as "partial 16S ribosomal RNA". It matches the Rfam family "Bacterial small subunit ribosomal RNA", at positions 338 to 795 of the family's 1533-position model. The record is from RNAcentral.